UACGAGUGCCCCGAGCGUUAUCCGGAAUUAUUGGGCGUAAAGGGUGUGUAGGUGGCAGUGUUAGUCGUCCGUCAAAGCUCCCGGCCCAACCGGGAAAAGGCGAACGAAACGGCACCGCUAGAAUAUGCGAGAGGUUGAUGGAACUCAUGGUGUAGGGGUGAAAUCCGUUAAUAUCAUGGGGAACACCGAAGGCGAAGGCAGUCAACUGGCGCAUUAUUGACACUGAAACACGAAAGCGUGGGUAGCGAAUGGG
RNAcentral lists this ribosomal RNA (253 nucleotides) under uncultured bacterium. RNAcentral describes it as "partial 16S ribosomal RNA". It matches the Rfam family "Bacterial small subunit ribosomal RNA", at positions 524 to 776 of the family's 1533-position model. The record is from RNAcentral.